UGGGGAAUAUUGGACAAUGGGCGCAAGCCUGAUCCAGCAAUGCCGCGUGUGUGAAGAAGGCCUGCGGGUUGUAAAGCACUUUCAGUGGGGAGGAAGGCCUCGGCGUUAAUAUCGUCGAGGAUUGACGUUACCUACAGAAGAAGCACCGGCUAACUCUGUGCCAGCAGCCGCGGUAAUACAGAGGGUGCAAGCGUUAAUCGGAAUUACUGGGCGUAAAGGGCGCGUAGGUGGUUAAUUAAGUCAGAUGUGAAAUCCCCGGGCUUAACCUGGGAAUUGCAUUUGAAACUGAUUGGCUAGAGGACGGGAGAGGGAAGUGGAAUUUCCGGUGUAGCGGUGAAAUGCGUAGAUAUCGGAAGGAACACCAGUGGCGAAGGCGACUUCCUGGCCCGUUACUGACACUGAUGCGCGAAAGCGUGGGGAGCGAACA
RNAcentral lists this ribosomal RNA (427 nucleotides) under uncultured bacterium. RNAcentral's name for it is "bacterial SSU rRNA". It matches the Rfam family "Bacterial small subunit ribosomal RNA", at positions 355 to 774 of the family's 1533-position model. The record is from RNAcentral.